RNAcentral lists this ribosomal RNA (253 nucleotides) under uncultured bacterium. RNAcentral's name for it is "partial 16S ribosomal RNA". It matches the Rfam family "Bacterial small subunit ribosomal RNA", at positions 524 to 776 of the family's 1533-position model. The record is from RNAcentral.
UACGAAGGGGGCGAGCGUUGUUCGGAUUUACUGGGCGUAAAGGGCGCGCAGGCGGCUCAUUUUGUCAGGCGUGAAAGCCCCGGGCUUAACCUGGGAACUGCGCUUGAGACGGGUGGGCUAGAGAUCGGGAGAGGAGAGUGGAAUUCCCAGUGUAGAGGUGAAAUUCGUAGAUAUUGGGAAGAACACCGGUGGCGAAGGCGGCUCUCUGGGCAGUAACUGACGCUGAGGAGCGAAAGCGUGGGGAGCGAACAGG